Long non-coding RNA from Lycium ferocissimum, 754 nucleotides. RefSeq lists it as uncharacterized. The transcript is spliced from 2 exons. NCBI's taxonomy places the organism in Eukaryota, Viridiplantae, Streptophyta, Magnoliopsida, Solanales, Solanaceae. The record is from RefSeq and is a predicted model, not a curated record.
UAAGCGAGGUAUUUUGUUACCACAUGCCCUGGUUCUUAGUAUUCUUGAUAUGAUUUUCAUUAAUCAAGAAUGCAACAUCCAUCAGUCAAGUUGUCAUCUCCAUUAAUAUCUUAUCCUUUGUAUGUCUUUUCCAGGUACAUGAUGUCUAAUAAAUGGUCUAAUCCUUUGUUUCCCAUGGACUAUAUUGUGGUCACGAGCAUUUGGGAGUUGCUGUCAUAUCUUAAUCAAAGUAAAUUGUGUAUCAGUGUCUAGGUGAAGAUUAACAACAAUGCUUGAGUUCGAAUUCCUUACAGUGUCCUCCAUUUACUUGUGCAACCUUCUCAGAAGUAUGGCUUCCAUAUUCUGAUCAUCUUCGACAAUUCUUAUCAAAAGAGAAAGCCGUGUCCUUCUCAGAGGGUGGUUAGAGGCUGAAAUGAGCUUUUCUAAGUUGGACAUAAAAUUGAGUCUCUUCAUUACUAGCUAAAUCUCUACCGACACAAUUUUGAGGGAAGAAAGCCUCUUCAAGAAUUGUCUGUUCUUCGAAAUUUUCGUGAAAAUAUCUUUUUUGUUUGUCUAGGAAUGAAGAGAGUAGGAGAUGAGCAAGCGGAUGAAGAGAGAUAUGAAGACUCCUAAGAAAAACAAUUGUUUUAUUUUCUUUUCAAUUAUAUCUAAGUUUCAAUAACAUUGAAUUUGAAGUACACUCCAAAUAUCUGAACUAUUUAAUAAGGGUGUAAAGAUUCUGAAAUACAUUAGUAUUUGCAAAAUUGACAUCUAA